GACGAACGCUGGCGGCGUGCCUAAUACAUGCAAGUAGAACGCUGAAGAGAGGAGCUUGCUCUUCUUGGAUGAGUUGCGCACGGGUGAGUAACGCGUAGGUAACCUGCCUUGUAGCGGGGGAUAACUAUUGGAAACGAUAGCUAAUACCGCAUAACAAUUGGUGCCACAUGUCAUUUAUUUGAAAGGGGCAAUUGUUCCCCUACAAUAUGGACCUGCGUUGUAUUAGCUAGUAGGUUAGGUAAUGGCUCACCUAGGCGACGAUACAUAGCCGACCUGAGAGGGUGAUAGGCCACACUGGGACUGAGACACGGCCCAGACACCUACGGGAGGCAGCAGUAGGGAAGCUUCGGCAAUGGGGGCAACCCUGACCGAGCAACGCCGCGUGAGUGAAGAAGGUUUUCGGAUCGUAAAGAUCUGUUGUAAGACAAGAACGGGUGUGAGAGUGGAAAGUUCACACUGUGAAGGUAGCUUACCAGAAAGGGACGGCUAACUACGUG
Molecule: ribosomal RNA, 497 nt
Filed under: uncultured bacterium
Lineage: Bacteria
Description: partial 16S ribosomal RNA
Rfam family: Bacterial small subunit ribosomal RNA
Source: RNAcentral